AGUGAACGCUGGCGGUAGACCUAACACAUGCAAGUCGAACGGCAGCACAGUAAGAGCUUGCUCUUACGGGUGGCGAGUGGCGGACGGGUGAGGAAUACAUCGGAAUCUACUUUUUCGUGGGGGAUAACGUAGGGAAACUUACGCUAAUACCGCAUACGACCUACGGGUGAAAGCAGGGGAUCUUCGGACUUUGCGCGAUUGAAUGAGCCGAUGUCGGAUUAGCUAGUUGGCGGGGUAAAGGCCCACCAAGGCGACGAUCCGUAGCUGGUCUGAGAGGAUGAUCAGCCACACUGGAACUGAGACACGGUCCAGACUCCUACGGGAGGCAGCAGUGGGGAAUAUUAGACAAUGGGCGCAAGCCUGAUCCAGCCAUACCGCGUGGGUGAAGAAGGCCUUCGGGUUGUAAAGCCCUUUUGUUGGGAAAGAAAAGCAGCAGAUUAAUACCCCGCUGUUCUGACGGUACCCAAAGAAAAAGCACCGGCUAACUUCGUG
Molecule: ribosomal RNA, 492 nt
Filed under: uncultured bacterium
Lineage: Bacteria
Description: partial 16S ribosomal RNA
Rfam family: Bacterial small subunit ribosomal RNA
Source: RNAcentral